AAUCAACGCUGGCGGCGUGCCUCAGACAUGCAAGUCGAACGCGAAAGGCUCCUUCGGGGGCCGAGUAGAGUGGCGCACGGGUGAGUAACACGUAGGUAAUUUGCCUUUGGGUGGGGAAUAACUCAGGGAAACUUGAGCUAAUACCGCAUAAUGCAGCGGCUCGACAUCGAGACAGUUGUUAAAGCGGGGGAUCGCAAGACCUCGCGCCUGAAGAGAAGCCUGCGGCAGAUUAGCUAGUUGGUAGGGUAAUGGCCUACCAAGGCGACGAUCUGUAACCGGCCUGAGAGGGCGGUCGGUCACACUGACACUGACAUACGGGUCAGACUCCUACGGGAGGCAGCAGUCGGG
RNAcentral lists this ribosomal RNA (348 nucleotides) under uncultured bacterium. RNAcentral describes it as "bacterial SSU rRNA". It matches the Rfam family "Bacterial small subunit ribosomal RNA", at positions 32 to 359 of the family's 1533-position model. The record is from RNAcentral.